Molecule: ribosomal RNA, 253 nt
Filed under: uncultured bacterium
Lineage: Bacteria
Description: partial 16S ribosomal RNA
Rfam family: Bacterial small subunit ribosomal RNA
Source: RNAcentral
UACGGAGGGUGCGAGCGUUGUCCGGAUUUAUUGGGUUUAAAGGGUGCGUAGGUGGCCUUAUAAGUCAGUGGAGAAAUACGGUUGCUCAACAAUCGAGGUACCAUUGAUACUGCAAGGCUUGAAAUAAUUGGAGGCUGCCGGAAUGGAUGGUGUAGCGGUGAAAUGCAUAGAUAUCAUCCAGAACACCGAUUGCGAAGGCAGGUGGCUACGAUUGGUUUGACACUGAGGCACGAAAGCAUGGGGAGCAAACAGG